Molecule: ribosomal RNA, 484 nt
Filed under: uncultured bacterium
Lineage: Bacteria
Description: partial 16S ribosomal RNA
Rfam family: Bacterial small subunit ribosomal RNA
Source: RNAcentral
GACGAACGCUGGCGGCGUGCUUAACACAUGCAAGUCGAACGGAAAGGCCCUGCUUUUGUGGUGUGCUCGAGUGGCGAACGGGUGAGUAACACGUGAGUAACCUGCCCUUGACUUUGGGAUAACUUCAGGAAACUGGGGCUAAUACCGGAUAGGAGCUCCUGCUGCAUAGUGGGGGUUGGAAAGUUUCGGCGGUUGGGGAGGGACUCGCGGCUUAUCAGAUUGUUGGUGGGGUAGUGGCUUACCAAGGCUUUGACGGGUAGCCGGCCUGAGAGGGUGACCGGCCACAUUGGGACUGAGAUAGGGCCCAGACUCAUACGGGAGGCAGCAGUGGGGAAUAGUGGACAAUGGGCGGAAGCCUGAUGCAGCAACGCCGCGUGCGGGAUGACGGCCUUCGGGUUGUAAACCGCUUUCGCCUGUGACGAAGCGUGAGUGACGGUAAUGGGUAAAGAAGCACCGGCUAACUACGUGCCAGCCGCCGCAGUAA